Long non-coding RNA from Equus caballus (horse), 3058 nucleotides. NCBI's taxonomy places the organism in Eukaryota, Metazoa, Chordata, Mammalia, Perissodactyla, Equidae. The record is from Ensembl.
UUUUGAUAAAAUAAAAAUACAAAUUAAUUAAAAAUCCAAUGAAGGGACGAAGGCUGGACUUCCAUUGGUCAAAGAAUGGCUUUACCUCCCCCACCACACACCUAGGGUGCUUUUCAAAACCCUCAAUCAUGAAGUCAGCAAAGAUGAAGUGGCAGACUCAUGCGUAGCAUUAGGAGUAUUUCUGGAACUGGGACUGUCUUUCCUACUAAUAGGAAAACACCAACAGUAACGACUAGCAAUGGUUACCAUAGAUUUUAAAGGCAUCCUAGCAAGUUAGAUCCCAUGUUAGUCCCUGUUUUCUAGGAAAACACCAAAACUCAGAGAGGUUCAGGAUUUAAUGGAAGUCUUUGCUAUAGCAAUUGGAAGGGGCAAACCUAAAGCCAAGUCCUCUGUGGUAAAUUAUAUUUUCAAAGAUGGACUCAUCCCUCAUGUUCUUCUUCCACUCCUCCAUCAAAAGAUGGAGCCUGUGUCUCCACCCCCUUGAACCUGGGCAGGUCUUGUGACAGCUUUGAUCAAUAUAAUACAGUGUGAGUGAUACUGGGUGACUUCUAAGGCUGGGUCAUAAGAAGUCUUGCAGCUUUUGCUUUGCUCUUGUGGGAUGUUCCCUCUGGGACACUCCCUCUUGGAAAGCAGCUGCCAUCCUGGGAGAAGCCUAAGCCACAUAUAGAGGCCAUUUAAGUACUUUAGUUAACAUCCCAGCAUAACCAGUAUUAACUGCCAACCGCGUGAGGGAGCCGCCAUUUUGGAAAUCCAGCCCAGGGAUCCUUCAGCUGACUCCAGCGCCAGUCACCACCUAACUACGACCACGUGAGAAACCCCAAGGGGAACCACUCAGCUGAUGUGUCAACCCACACAACUAUGAGAGAGAAUAGUGGUGUCUCUACCGGGUGAACAGACAGGUCCCAACAGCAGGCUGCUGACUGGUGGCUCCCUCCUGGGGACUACUCUCCCUGGCCUCUGGAGAAGAGAUGGACGCAGGAGGGACAUGCAUCUGGGGAACCAGGAAAUGUCAGAGGUUACUUCCUGAGGAAGGAAGAGGCCCUUGAAGAACUGGAAUGAGGCCAUGUGGCUGACACAAGUGAGGAAACUGAGGCUCGAGUGGUCAGCUAGUCCCGGUUACAUGCCUCUUAAGUGGCUGAGCUGGAGUUUGAACCUGGGGUGGUCCAUGUCGCAGAGCCCACACAGUGCAGUGACAAUAUCCUCCCUCCCAGAGGUGCAGAGUGGCCGGAGCCUCUCUGGGAGACUUCUAUACAAUCAGUGACUCUCAAAGUGAAGAGUGCCGACCACCCGCUUAACCCCGGGACACCUGUUAACACGCAGAUUCCACAGCUUUACCCCACUUCUACUGCGUCUCGUCCUCUGGGAACCAGGCCUCCAGAUCACGUCAGGCUCGCGCACUCAGCCUGUACCCUAUACCUGGGGCUGGUGUGGGGACACGGAGCAGCUGCAGAGGAACCUCCGAGACUAUGCUGCUAUGGCUCUGCGGGCAGCUUUGCCUCAAACCUCAAAAUCAUGAUCCUCUUGGAGGUGGCACCCCCAGGGACAGCGGCUUCUGCUCCGGGCUGUGUGAGCGCUGGGGGACCUUGGUUACGGACUCGCACUGGGUGAGUAAAGUGCUCUGUAACAUACAAGCCACCUCUUCCUGGCUUUUGUCCCUCGUAUCUCAUUAGACAAGCCAGCUUCAGGAAAGGGACGCGUUCUUCCGGGUGGGGGCCGCGUGGCCGCCACCCAGCAGCGGAGCCGUGACUCAGCUCGGCGGGCUCGUGCCCAGGCCAGGGCUGCGCGGGACCGGAACAGAGGGCCGCCCGGCCGCGCCGCACCUGCCCGGCGCCUCAGCCCGCCCCUCCCCUCCCCUCCCCGCCCCGCCCCUCCCGGAGGCGGCCCCGGCGGGCGGCGUGGCCGGGCAGGCUGUGGGCUUGCCGCCGCCCGCGCCCUGAGUCACCGCUCCCAGCCCCGCCGAGCCGAGCCGCCGCCCGGCCCCGCGCCUCUGCGCCUGCGCGCGCUCACGCGGCCUCCCGACCCCGCGCUGGGCUCUCCGCGCGGGCCACGGCCGGGACCUCCCCUGACGCGGCCUUCCCGGCGUCCGGACAGACGGGGUUCAGCAAAAGGAGUCCCCUGCCCCGCGUCCCUCCACAGCCAGAGUCUGUCUAACCACGCGCACUGACAGGAAGGAAACCCAGGCUGUCACUGUCCUGUUACUGGGUCUUCCCUGGCCUCCCUGCGGCUGGUCACAUCCACCCGCGCGGUUCCCCUUUGAUGGCAAGUCGCUAGUGGCAUCCAUCCUCUACAGCCUUCAGCUUUCUCCUGCCAGUGGUUCUCGAAGGUUGCUACCCGUUAGAAUCAUCUGGGGAGCUUUUAAAAACCCUGAUGCUCAGACUGCACCCAGACCAAUGAAAUCAGAACCACGUGGAAGCCGGGCAGCCGCAGUUUGAAAAGUUCCCCAGGUGAUUUCAAGGUUCAGCCAGGGCUGGGGACCACGGACCCAGACCUGGGCUUCUCAAACGUUUGUAGGCACUGAAAUCACCUGGGUUCUUGUUAAAAUGCAGCUUCCCAUUCAGUAGGUCUGGGGAGGGGCAGUUCUAACAAGCUCCCAGGUGAUGCUGAGGCUGCUGGUCUGAGAGCUACAUCUGGAGCUGCAAGACGCUAAAGGCUCCUUGCCCCUCUACCUUGUCUCUUGUGUUGUACAAGAGAAGACAUGGGCCUUGGAGCAGAUGGACAGGGUUUGAAUCCCACCUUUGCCACUUCCUAGCUUGGUGAAAUUAGACCCUGGUUCUUUGUGUGUAAAAUGGAGGCCUGAUACUUACCUGAUACUUACCUUGCAAGUUUCUGGUGAGGAUGACAUAAGAUGAUCUUUGGAAGGCACCUGGUGCUCAGUGACGAUCAGCUAUAUUAGGAUGGCUAAGCUCACCAUUCGCCCUCAUGGCUGUAUAGGCCGAGGAAUGACAGAAGCAGAGGAAGAAGUCUCCCAGAUUCCCUCUUCCCCGCUCUGCUCCCUAAUGGGAGGACUGGGCUGGAAGCCAAAACACUCCCCUGUCUCCCAGGGGGGUCAGAAAGGAGA